GCAAACUUUGGAAGUGCAUAACCUACAAAAUUACAAUUUUAAUCCAAGUUGAAUUACAUAUAAAUCCAAACUUAAGAAAUCAAAUAAGAGCAGAACUCAAACAUACAUACAUAUUGAACAAGACACACUUCACUAUGUGUCAAUAUGUGAGUUUCCUUUCAUCAACAAAGUCUAAUUAAAAGACUUUGAGGAAGCCCCAUACUGUGUCUGCACAAGACACAAUAACGCACCAUUGUGCAACACAAGGCACCAGUACAAGCAUAGCAAAUAGGUAGAUAGUAAGCCUAAGCCCUCAAUCAGUAGUACAUACAUGGUACGAGCUGCAACCAUCUCAUAUACAUUGGCAUCACACCCAAGGUUCCCAUCAGCAUCACACAAUCCAAAGAAGCAUGAGUCAGAGAAUUUUUUUUUGAUAGAAAAUUCGAAUAAUAAGAUUUCACAUAUAGACAUUUGUAGUCCUAAAACUAAUCCUUAACACCUUUAGGACAUUGAUUUCCAACUAGUCCCAAUCCUCUAAGGAU
RNAcentral lists this unclassified non-coding RNA (521 nucleotides) under Hevea brasiliensis (rubber tree). The record is from RNAcentral. Lineage: Eukaryota; Viridiplantae; Streptophyta; Magnoliopsida; Malpighiales; Euphorbiaceae.